RNAcentral lists this ribosomal RNA (120 nucleotides) under uncultured bacterium. Its description in RNAcentral is "partial 16S ribosomal RNA". It matches the Rfam family "Bacterial small subunit ribosomal RNA", at positions 29 to 161 of the family's 1533-position model. The record is from RNAcentral.
AACGAACGCUGGCGGCAGGCUUAACACAUGCAAGUCGAACGCACCGCAAGGUGAGUGGCAGACGGGUGAGUAACGCGUGGGAACCUACCCAGUUCUACGGAACAACUGAGGGAAACUUCA